UGGGGAAUAUUGCACAAUGGGCGCAAGCCUGAUGCAGCAACGCCGCGUGAGGGACGACGGCCUUCGGGUUGUAAACCUCUUUUAGUAGGGAAGAAGCGAAAGUGACGGUACCUGCAGAAAAAGCACCGGCUAACUACGUGCCAGCAGCCGCGGUAAUACGUAGGGUGCGAGCGUUGUCCGGAAUUAUUGGGCGUAAAGAGCUCGUAGGCGGUCUGUCGCGUCUGCUGUGAAAUCCCGAGGCUCAACCUCGGGCCUGCAGUGGGUACGGGCAGACUAGAGUGCGGUAGGGGAGAAUGGAAUUCCUGGUGUAGCGGUGGAAUGCGCAGAUAUCAGGAGGAACACCGAUGGCGAAGGCAGUUCUCUGGGCCGUAACUGACGCUGAGGAGCGAAAGCGUGGGGAGCGAACAGGAUUAGAUACCCUGGUAGUCCACGCCGUAAACGUUGGGCGCUAGAUGUGGGGACCAUUCCACGGUUUCCGUGUCGCAGCUAACGCAUUAAGCGCCCCGCCUGGGGAGUACGGCCGCAAGGCUA
RNAcentral lists this ribosomal RNA (531 nucleotides) under Leifsonia sp. ASS1. RNAcentral's name for it is "bacterial SSU rRNA". It matches the Rfam family "Bacterial small subunit ribosomal RNA", at positions 355 to 896 of the family's 1533-position model. Lineage: Bacteria; Bacillati; Actinomycetota; Actinomycetes; Micrococcales; Microbacteriaceae. The record is from RNAcentral.